UACGAAGGGGGCUAGCGUUGUUCGGAAUCACUGGGCGUAAAGGGCGCGUAGGCGGCCGAUCAAGUCGGGGGUGAAAGCCUGUGGCUCAACCACAGAAUUGCCUUCGAUACUGUUUGGCUUGAGACCGGAAGAGGUUAGUGGAACUGCGAGUGUAGAGGUGAAAUUCGUAGAUAUUCGCAAGAACACCAGUGGCGAAGGCGGCUGACUGGUCCGGUUCUGACGCUGAGGCGCGAAAGCGUGGGGAGCGAACAGG
Molecule: ribosomal RNA, 253 nt
Filed under: uncultured bacterium
Lineage: Bacteria
Description: partial 16S ribosomal RNA
Rfam family: Bacterial small subunit ribosomal RNA
Source: RNAcentral